AACGACGGUGAUAAAGACGUAAAUAAAAAUGUAUUGAAGAAGUUAAUUCAGUUUAUAACUAACUUAUUUGUUAAAAAUGUUAAUACUUUAAAUGUAAUUAAACGUGCUGUCCUUUCAAGUAGUUUCUUAGAUGGUUUUUUCAAGAACAUAUUAUAUCAGAAGUCGAGAUUACAAAACGCUUCAAGCAAUUACUGAAAUUCUACGUAAGAUUACACAUUGAAAAAACUUCGAAGAUAGAAGUGUCGCCUGGAGGACCAGACGAGUGCAGCACGGCCGAAUGAUGUACUGCUAAUAUUGAAUACCAGAUGGCGCACAGAUUGCUGAUCGUAUAAUUCUUUUAAUGUUUUAUUUUUCGUUUUGUGAGUUGGCAAUCUGAUGAGUUGGACUCAAGAUGCAGUAAAAGAACGACGACGAUAAAGUCGUAAAUAAAAAUGUAUUGAAGAAGUUAAUUCAGUUUAUAACUAACUUAUUUGUUAAAAAUGUAAUUACUUUAAAUGUAAUUAAACGUGCUGUCCUUUCAA
Molecule: long non-coding RNA, 521 nt
Organism: Stegodyphus dumicola
Lineage: Eukaryota; Metazoa; Arthropoda; Arachnida; Araneae; Eresidae
Source: RefSeq, a predicted model, not a curated record